Molecule: small nucleolar RNA, 217 nt
Organism: Trematomus bernacchii (emerald rockcod)
Lineage: Eukaryota; Metazoa; Chordata; Actinopteri; Perciformes; Nototheniidae
Product: small nucleolar RNA U3
Exons: 1
Source: RefSeq, a predicted model, not a curated record
AAGACUAUACUUUCAGGGAUCAUUUCUAUAGUUUCUGACUUGAGAAAUGUGUUUCUAAAGUGAUUGGUCUCGCUAACCACGAUGAAGAGACGGUGAUACUCUUUCCUGAGCGCGAAGCUGGCAGAGAGUCUUGAUUCAGUUCUUAUGCUCUCUGCCUUUGAUGACCGUUCACUGCCUCCUCUGGGGGCUUUGAGGGAGAGAGUAUGUUCAGAGUGGC